UGGGGAAUCUUGCACAAUGGGGGCAACCCUGAUGCAGCGACGCCGCGUGAGCGAUGAAGCCCUUCGGGGCGUAAAGCUCUUUCGACCGGAACGAUAAUGACGGUACCGGGAGAAGAAGCUGCGGCUAACUACGUGCCAGCAGCCGCGGUAAUACGUAGGCAGCAAGCGUUGUUCGGAGUUACUGGGCGUAAAGAGUGCGUAGUCGGUUGUCUAAGUUCGGUGUGAAAUCUCCCGGCUUAACUGGGAGGGUGCGCCGAAGACUGGGAAGCUGGAGUGUGGGAAAGGCAGGCGGAAUUCCUGGUGUAGCGGUGAAAUGCGUAGAUAUCAGGAGGAACACCGGCGGUGUAGACGGCUUGCUAGACCAUAACUGACGCUGAGGCACGAAAGCGUGGGUAGCAAACA
RNAcentral lists this ribosomal RNA (402 nucleotides) under uncultured bacterium. Its description in RNAcentral is "bacterial SSU rRNA". It matches the Rfam family "Bacterial small subunit ribosomal RNA", at positions 355 to 774 of the family's 1533-position model. The record is from RNAcentral.